GGCAGCAGUGGGGAAUAUUGGACAAUGGGCGAAAGCCUAAUCCAGCCAUGCCGCGUGUGUGAAGAAGGUCUUCGGAUUGUAAAGCACUUUAAGUUGGGAGGAAGGGCAGUAAGUUAAUACCUUGCUGUUUUGACGUUACCGACAGAAUAAGCACCGGCUAACUCUGUGCCAGCAGCCGCG
RNAcentral lists this ribosomal RNA (180 nucleotides) under BTEX-degrading bacterium enrichment culture. RNAcentral's name for it is "partial 16S ribosomal RNA". It matches the Rfam family "Bacterial small subunit ribosomal RNA", at positions 347 to 519 of the family's 1533-position model. The record is from RNAcentral.